GAUGAACGCUGGCGGCGUGCCUAAUACAUGCAAGUAGAACGCUGAAGAGAGGAGCUUGCUCUUCUUGGUUGAGUUGCGAACGGGUGAGUAACGCGUAGGUAACCUGCCUGGUAGCGGGGGAUAACUAUUGGAAACGAUAGCUAAUACCGCAUAAAAUGUAUUAUCGCAUGAUAAUCCAUUGAAAGGUGCAAAUGCAUUACUAUCAGAUGGACUUGCGUUGUAUUAGCUAGUUGGUGGGGUAACGGCUCAACAAGGCGACGAUACCUAGCCGACCUGAGAGGGUGGUCGGCCACACUGGGACUUAGACACGGCCCAGACUCCUUCGGGAGGCAGCAGUAGGGAAGCUUCGGCAAAUGACGGAAGUCUGACCGAGCAACGCCGCGUGAGUGAAGGAGGUUUUCGGAUCGUAAAGCUCUGUUGUAAGAGAAGAACGAAUGUGAGAGUGGAAAAUUCACGCUGCGACGGUAUCUUACCAGAAAGGGACGGCUAACUACGUG
RNAcentral lists this ribosomal RNA (497 nucleotides) under uncultured bacterium. RNAcentral describes it as "partial 16S ribosomal RNA". It matches the Rfam family "Bacterial small subunit ribosomal RNA", at positions 28 to 507 of the family's 1533-position model. The record is from RNAcentral.